UGCAAGUCGAACGCGGUUACCUCGCAAGGGGUAACUGAGUGGCGAACGGGUGAGUAACACGUGGGUGACCUACCUUCGAGUGGGGGAUAACGUCCCGAAAGGGACGCUAAUACCGCAUAACAUCCUGCCUUUGAACAGGUGGAGAUCAAAGCCGGGGAUCGCAAGACCUGGCGCUUGAUGAGGGGCCCGCGCCUGAUUAGCUAGUUGGUGGGGUAAUGGCUCACCAAGGCGACGAUCAGUAUCCGGCCUGAGAGGGCGGACGGACACACUGGGACUGAGACACGGCCCAGACUCCUACGGGAGGCAGCAGUGGGGAAUUGUUCGCAAUGGGCGCAAGCCUGACGACGCAACGCCGCGUGGAGGAUGAAGGUCUUCGGAUUGUAAACUCCUGUUGCUCGGGACGAAAAGCUUCGACCUAACACGUCGAAGUCUGACGGUACCGAGUGAGGAAGCCCCGGCUAACUCUGUGCCAGCAGCCGCGGUAAUACAGAGGGGGCAAGCGUUGUUCGGAAUUACUGGGCGUAAAGGGCGCGUAGGCGGCCUGCUAAGUCGAACGUGAAAUCCCUGGGCUCAACCCAGGAACUGCGUCCGAUACUGGUUGGCUUGAAUCCGGGAGAGGGAUGUGGAAUUCCAGGUGUAGCGGUGAAAUGCGUAGAUAUCUGGAGGAACACCGGUGGCGAAGGCGACAUCCUGGACCGGUAUUGACGCUGAGGCGCGAAAGCCAGGGGAGCAAACGGGAUUAGAUACCCCGGUAGUCCUGGCCCUAAACGAUGAAUGCUUGGUGUGGCGGGUAUCGAUCCCUGCCGUGCCGAAGCUAACGCAUUAAGCAUUCCGCCUGGGGAGUACGGUCGCAAGGCUG
RNAcentral lists this ribosomal RNA (859 nucleotides) under uncultured Acidobacteriota bacterium. RNAcentral describes it as "bacterial SSU rRNA". It matches the Rfam family "Bacterial small subunit ribosomal RNA", at positions 56 to 896 of the family's 1533-position model. Lineage: Bacteria; Pseudomonadati; Acidobacteriota. The record is from RNAcentral.